AUGGAAUACAGAAGAAGCUUUAGUAUGUCGAGGUCAGAACGCAUAUUACUUUCAUCCGAAUCUGUGACUUUAGAAUGUGCCAAAAUCGCUGGCUAUGAAAGAAUUUCACAAUCCAUGAAGUUUGAUGAGGAAGAUGAACACAAGAAGAAUAAAAAAGGUAUUGGAUUUCUAAGUAAGAUCCUAACUCUCACAAAAACUUCCACUACCCAUGAAGGGAACGAGGUGGCAGAGAAGGAGAAGAAGGAGAAGAAACGUUCUUCUUGGCUUCCAGAUCCAGACAAACGCUGGCCAAUUCAAGGGUGGUGA
Non-coding RNA from Vicia faba (fava bean), 306 nucleotides. The record is from the annotation of a GenBank genome assembly. NCBI's taxonomy places the organism in Eukaryota, Viridiplantae, Streptophyta, Magnoliopsida, Fabales, Fabaceae.